RNAcentral lists this transfer RNA (67 nucleotides) under Marmota monax (woodchuck). RNAcentral's name for it is "tRNA.Ala". Lineage: Eukaryota; Metazoa; Chordata; Mammalia; Rodentia; Sciuridae. The record is from RNAcentral.
GGUUGUAGCUCAGUGGUAGAGUGCUUGCUUUGCAUGUGUGAGGCACUGGGUUCCAUCCUCAGUGCCA